Long non-coding RNA from Oncorhynchus mykiss (rainbow trout), 5544 nucleotides. NCBI's taxonomy places the organism in Eukaryota, Metazoa, Chordata, Actinopteri, Salmoniformes, Salmonidae. The record is from Ensembl.
CUCCACUGCAGAGCUAGUUUAUUACUAUAUCACCACUGCAGAGCUAGUUUAUUACUAUAUCACUACUGCAGAGCUAGUUUAUUACUAUAUCUCCACUGCAGAGCUAGUUUAUUACUAUAUCACCACUGCUUAGCUAGUUUAUUACUAUAUCACCACUGCAGAGCUAGUUUAUUACUAUAUCCCCACUGCAGAGCUAGUUUCUUACUAUAUCACUACUGCAGAGCUAGUUUAUUACUAUAUCUCCACUGCAGAGCUAGUUUAUUACUAUAUCACUACUGCAGAGCUAGUUUAUUACUAUAUCACUACUGCAGAGCUAGUUUAUUACUAUAUCACCACUGCAGAGCUAGUUUAUUACUAUAUCACUACUGCAGAGCUAGUUUAUUACUAUAUCACUACUGCAGAGCUAGUUUAUUACUAUAUCACCACUGCAGAGCUAGUUUAUUACUAUAUCCCCACUGCAGAGCUAGUUUAUUACUAUAUCUCCACUGCAGAGCUAGUUUAUUACUAUAUCACCACUGCAGAGCUAGUUUAUUACUAUAUCACUACUGCAGAGCUAGUUUAUUACUAUAUCCCCACUGCAGAGCUAGUUUAUUACCAUAUCCCCACUGCAGAGCUAGUUUAUUACUAUAUCCCCAUUGCAGAGCUAGUUUAUUACUAUAUCACCACUGCAGAGCUAGUUUAUUACUAUAUCACUACUGCAGAGCUAGUUUAUUACUAUAUCCCCACUGCAGAGCUAGUUUAUUACCAUAUCCCCACUGCAGAGCUAGUUUAUUACUAUAUCCCCAUUGCAGAGCUAGUUUAUUACUAUAUCCCCAUUGCAGAGCUAGUUUAUUACUAUAUCUCCACUGCAGAGCUAGUUUAUUACUAUAUCCCCACUGCUUAGCUAGUUUAUUACUAUCUGACUACUGCAGAGCUAGUUUAUUACUAUAUCCCCACUGCAGAGCUAGUUUAUUACCAUAUCUCCACUGCAGAGCUAGUUUAUUACUAUAUCACUACUGCAGAGCUAGUUUAUUACUAUAUCACUACUGCAGAGCUAGUUUAUUACUAUAUCACUACUGCAGAGCUAGUUUAUUACUAUAUCAUCACUGCAGAGCUAGUUUAUUACUAUAUCACUACUGCAGAGAUAGUUUAUUACUAUAUCCCCACUGCAGAGCUAGUUUAUUACCAUAUCCCCACUGCAGAGCUAGUUUAUUACUAUAUCCCCAUUGCAGAGCUAGUUUAUUACUAUAUCCCCAUUGCAGAGCUAGUUUAUUACUAUAUCUCCACUGCAGAGCUAGUUUAUUACUAUAUCUCCACUGCUUAGCUAGUUUAUUACUAUCUGACUACUGCAGAGCUAGUUUAUUACUAUAUCCCCACUGCAGAGCUAGUUUAUUACCAUAUCUCCACUGCAGAGCAAGUUUAUUACUAUAUCACUACUGCAGAGCUAGUUUACUACUAUAUCACUACUGCAGAGCUAGUUUAUUACUAUAUCACUACUGCAGAGCUAGUUUAUUACUAUAUCACCACUGCAGAGCUAGUUUAUUACUAUAUCACUACUGCAGAGAUAGUUUAUUACUAUAUCUCCACUGCAGAGCUAGUUUAUUACUAUAUCACUACUGCAGAGCUAGUUUAUUACUAUAUCACUACUGCAGAGCUAGUUUAUUACUAUAUCACCACUGCAGAGCUAGUUUAUUACUAUAUCACUACUGCAGAGCUAGUUUAUUACUAUAUCACUACUGCAGAGCUAGUUUAUUACUAUAUCACCACUGCAGAGCUAGUUUAUUACUAUAUCUCCACUGCAGAGCUAGUUUAUUACUAUAUCACUACUGCAGAGCUAGUUUAUUACUAUAUCACUACUGCAGAGCUAGUUUAUUACUAUAUCACUACUGCAGAGCUAGUUUAUUACUAUAUCACCACUGCAGAGCUAGUUUAUUACUAUAUCUCCACUGCAGAGCUAGUUUAUUACUAUAUCACCACUGCUUAGCUAGUUUAUUACUAUAUCACCACUGCAGAGCUAGUUUAUUACUAUAUCCCCACUGCAGAGCUAGUUUCUUACUAUAUCACUACUGCAGAGCUAGUUUAUUACUAUAUCUCCACUGCAGAGCUAGUUUAUUACUAUAUCACUACUGCAGAGCUAGUUUAUUACUAUAUCACUACUGCAGAGCUAGUUUAUUACUAUAUCACCACUGCAGAGCUAGUUUAUUACUAUAUCACUACUGCAGAGCUAGUUUAUUACUAUAUCACUACUGCAGAGCUAGUUUAUUACUAUAUCACCACUGCAGAGCUAGUUUAUUACUAUAUCCCCACUGCAGAGCUAGUUUAUUACUAUAUCUCCACUGCAGAGCUAGUUUAUUACUAUAUCACCACUGCAGAGCUAGUUUAUUACUAUAUCCCCACUGCAGAGCUAGUUUAUUACUAUAUCCCCACUGCAGAGCUAGUUUAUUACCAUAUCCCCAUUGCAGAGCUAGUUUAUUACUAUAUCCCCAUUGCAGAGCUAGUUUAUUACUAUAUCCCCAUUGCAGAGCUAGUUUAUUACCAUAUCCCCACUGCAGAGCUAGUUUAUUACUAUAUCCCCACUGCAGAGCUAGUUUAUUACCAUAUCCCCACUGCAGAGCUAGUUUAUUACUAUAUCCCCAUUGCAGAGCUAGUUUAUUACUAUAUCCCCAUUGCAGAGCUAGUUUAUUACUAUAUCUCCACUGCAGAGCUAGUUUAUUACUAUAUCUCCACUGCUUAGCUAGUUUAUUACUAUCUGACUACUGCAGAGCUAGUUUAUUACUAUAUCCCCACUGCAGAGCUAGUUUAUUACCAUAUCUCCACUGCAGAGCAAGUUUAUUACUAUAUCACUACUGCAGAGCUAGUUUACUACUAUAUCACUACUGCAGAGCUAGUUUAUUACUAUAUCACUACUGCAGAGCUAGUUUAUUACUAUAUCACCACUGCAGAGCUAGUUUAUUACUAUAUCACUACUGCAGAGAUAGUUUAUUACUAUAUCUCCACUGCAGAGCUAGUUUAUUACUAUAUCACUACUGCAGAGCUAGUUUAUUACUAUAUCACUACUGCAGAGCUAGUUUAUUACUAUAUCACCACUGCAGAGCUAGUUUAUUACUAUAUCACUACUGCAGAGCUAGUUUAUUACUAUAUCACUACUGCAGAGCUAGUUUAUUACUAUAUCACCACUGCAGAGCUAGUUUAUUACUAUAUCUCCACUGCAGAGCUAGUUUAUUACUAUAUCACUACUGCAGAGCUAGUUUAUUACUAUAUCACUACUGCAGAGCUAGUUUAUUACUAUAUCACUACUGCAGAGCUAGUUUAUUACUAUAUCACCACUGCAGAGCUAGUUUAUUACUAUAUCUCCACUGCAGAGCUAGUUUAUUACUAUAUCACCACUGCUUAGCUAGUUUAUUACUAUAUCACCACUGCACAGCUAGUUUAUUACUAUAUCCCCACUGCAGAGCUAGUUUCUUACUAUAUCACUACUGCAGAGCUAGUUUAUUACUAUAUCUCCACUGCAGAGCUAGUUUAUUACUAUAUCACUACUGCAGAGCUAGUUUAUUACUAUAUCACUACUGCAGAGCUAGUUUAUUACUAUAUCACCACUGCAGAGCUAGUUUAUUACUAUAUCACCACUGCAGAGCUAGUUUAUUACUAUAUCACUACUGCAGAGCUAGUUUAUUACUAUAUCACUACUGCAGAGCUAGUUUAUUACUAUAUCACCACUGCAGAGCUAGUUUAUUACUAUAUCCCCACUGCAGAGCUAGUUUAUUACUAUAUCUCCACUGCAGAGCUAGUUUAUUACUAUAUCACCACUGCAGAGCUAGUUUAUUACUAUAUCCCCACUGCAGAGCUACUUUAUUACUAUAUCCCCACUGCAGAGCUAGUUUAUUACCAUAUCCCCAUUGCAGAGCUAGUUUAUUACUAUAUCCCCACUGCAGAGCUACUUUAUUACUAUAUCCCCAUUGCAGAGCUAGUUUAUUACUAUAUCCCCAUUGCAGAGCUAGUUUAUUACUAUAUCUCCACUGCAGAGCUAGUUUAUUACUAUAUCUCCACUGCUUAGCUAGUUUAUUACUAUCUGACUACUGCAGAGCUAGUUUAUUACUAUAUCCCCACUGCAGAACUAGUUUAUUACCAUAUCUCCACUGCAGAGCUAGUUUAUUACUAUAUCACUACUGCAGAGCUAGUUUAUUACUAUAUCACUACUGCAGAGCUAGUUUAUUACUAUAUCACUACUGCAGAGCUAGUUUAUUACUAUAUCACCACUGCAGAGCUAGUUUAUUACUAUAUCACUACUGCAGAGAUAGUUUAUUACUAUAUCCCCACUGCAGAGCUAGUUUAUUACCAUAUCCCCACUGCAGAGCUAGUUUAUUACUAUAUCCCCAUUGCAGAGCUAGUUUAUUACUAUAUCCCCAUUGCAGAGCUAGUUUAUUACUAUAUCUCCACUGCAGAGCUAGUUUAUUACUAUAUCUCCACUGCUUAGCUAGUUUAUUACUAUCUGACUACUGCAGAGCUAGUUUAUUACUAUAUCCCCACUGCAGAGCUAGUUUAUUACCAUAUCUCCACUGCAGAGCUAGUUUAUUACUAUAUCACUACUGCAGAGCUAGUUUAUUACUAUAUCACUACUGCAGAGCUAGUUUAUUACUAUAUCACUACUGCAGAGCUAGUUUAUUACUAUAUCAUCACUGCAGAGCUAGUUUAUUACUAUAUCACUACUGCAGAGAUAGUUUAUUACUAUAUCCCCACUGCAGAGCUAGUUUAUUACCAUAUCCCCACUGCAGAGCUAGUUUAUUACUAUAUCCCCAUUGCAGAGCUAGUUUAUUACUAUAUCCCCAUUGCAGAGCUAGUUUAUUACUAUAUCUCCACUGCAGAGCUAGUUUAUUACUAUAUCUCCACUGCUUAGCUAGUUUAUUACUAUCUGACUACUGCAGAGCUAGUUUAUUACUAUAUCCCCACUGCAGAGCUAGUUUAUUACCAUAUCUCCACUGCAGAGCAAGUUUAUUACUAUAUCACUACUGCAGAGCUAGUUUACUACUAUAUCACUACUGCAGAGCUAGUUUAUUACUAUAUCACUACUGCAGAGCUAGUUUAUUACUAUAUCACCACUGCAGAGCUAGUUUAUUACUAUAUCACUACUGCAGAGAUAGUUUAUUACUAUAUCCCCACUGCAGAGCUAGUUUAUUACCAUAUCCCCACUGCAGAGCUAGUUUAUUACUAUAUCCCCAUUGCAGAGCUAGUUUAUUACUAUAUCCCCAUUGCAGAGCUAGUUUAUUACUAUAUCUCCACUGCAGAGCUAGUUUAUUACUAUAUCUCCACUGCUUAGCUAGUUUAUUACUAUCUGACUACUGCAGAGCUAGUUUAUUACUAUAUCCCCACUGCAGAGCUAGUUUAUUACCAUAUCUCCACUGCAGAGCUAGUUUAUUACUAUAUCACUACUGCAGAGCUAGUUUAUUACUAUAUCACUACUGCAGAGCUAGUUUAUUACUAUAUCACUACUGCAGAGCUAGUUUAUUACUAUAUCAUCACUGCAGAGCUAGUUUAUUACUAUAUCACUACUGCAGAGAUAGUUUAUUA